AACAACAGUCGUUCUGUCGCUGUUUUUACGUGUAUACGUGGAAAGAGAGGAAAGUCCGGACAACACAGAGCACCAUGCUUCCUAACAGGAAGGGGCUUGCAAGAGCUACAGAAAGUGCCGCAGAAAAUAACCGCUUCAUACGAAGUAAGGGUGAAAACGUGAGGUAAGAGCUCACGCCAAAUCGUAGCAAUACGGUUUUGGGGGUAAACCUCAUGGGUUGAAAGACCAAAUAAACCGAGGCUUGAGGGUGGCUCGCCUGACUCGGAGGGUAGGUCGAUAGAACUUAAUGGCGACAUUAAGUCUAGAUAAAUGACAGAAUAUUACAGAAUCCGGCUUAUAGACUGUUGUUUUUU
Molecule: RNase P RNA, 353 nt
Filed under: Bacteroidales bacterium
Lineage: Bacteria; Pseudomonadati; Bacteroidota; Bacteroidia; Bacteroidales
Description: RNase P RNA component class A
Rfam family: Bacterial RNase P class A
About the family: Ribonuclease P (RNase P) is a ubiquitous endoribonuclease, found in archaea, bacteria and eukarya as well as chloroplasts and mitochondria. Its best characterised activity is the generation of mature 5'-ends of tRNAs by cleaving the 5'-leader elements of precursor-tRNAs.
Source: RNAcentral